Molecule: ribosomal RNA, 421 nt
Filed under: uncultured Bacteroides sp.
Lineage: Bacteria; Pseudomonadati; Bacteroidota; Bacteroidia; Bacteroidales; Bacteroidaceae
Description: bacterial SSU rRNA
Rfam family: Bacterial small subunit ribosomal RNA
Source: RNAcentral
UGAGGAAUAUUGGUCAAUGGGCGAGAGCCUGAACCAGCCAAGUAGCGUGAAGGAUGAAGGUUCUAUGGAUUGUAAACUUCUUUUAUAAGGGAAUAAACGACAUUACGUGUAGUGUUUUGCAUGUACCUUAUGAAUAAGCAUCGGCUAACUCCGUGCCAGCAGCCGCGGUAAUACGGAGGAUGCGAGCGUUAUCCGGAUUUAUUGGGUUUAAAGGGAGCGUAGACGGGAUGUUAAGUCAGCUGUGAAAGUUUGGGGCUCAACCUUAAAAUUGCAGUUGAAACUGGCGUUCUUGAGUGCGGUAGAGGCAGGCGGAAUUCGUGGUGUAGCGGUGAAAUGCUUAGAUAUCACGAAGAACUCCGAUUGCGAAGGCAGCUUGCUGGAGCGUAACUGACGUUGAUGCUCGAAAGUGUGGGUAUCAAAC